ACUCAAAUGAAUAGACGGGGGCCCGCACAAGCGGUGGAGCAUGUGGUUUAAUUCGACGCAACGCGAAGAACCUUACCUAGGCUUGACAUGUACCGAAGUCGUUAGAAAUAGCGAUGUGCUCGCAAGAGAGCGGUAACACAGGUGCUGCAUGGCUGUCGUCAGCUCGUGUCGUGAGAUGUUGGGUUAAGUCCCGCAACGAGCGCAACCCUUGUCGUUAGUUGCCAGCAUUCAGUUGGGAACUCUAACGAGACUGCCGUGGUUAACACGGAGGAAGGUGGGGAUGACGUCAAGUCCUCAUGGCCUUUAUGCUUAGGGCUACACACGUGCUACAAUGCAUUCUACAAAGGGCUGCCAACCUGCAAAGGGGAGCCAAUCCCAUAAAAGAAUGCUAAGUUCAGAUUGGGGUCUGCAACUCGACCCCAUGAAGCUGGAAUCGCUAGUAAUCGCGGAUCAGCACGCCGCGGUGAAUACGUUCCCGGGCCUUGCACACACCGCCCGU
Molecule: ribosomal RNA, 499 nt
Filed under: uncultured bacterium
Lineage: Bacteria
Description: partial 16S ribosomal RNA
Rfam family: Bacterial small subunit ribosomal RNA
Source: RNAcentral